Molecule: ribosomal RNA, 498 nt
Filed under: uncultured Glomeromycotina
Lineage: Eukaryota; Fungi; Glomeromycota
Description: partial small subunit ribosomal RNA
Rfam family: Eukaryotic small subunit ribosomal RNA
Source: RNAcentral
CCAAUAGCGUAUAUUAAAGUUGUUGCAGUUAAAAAGCUCGUAGUUGAAUUUUGGAUUCUGCCAGUUGGUCCAUCUUUUGAUGAGUACUGGUUGUGCGGGGUCUAUCCGCCUGGGGAUACGUAAUGUACUUUAUUGUAUGUUGCGGGUAGCCAGGACCUUUACCUUGAAAAAAUUAGAGUGUUUAAAGCAGGCUUAUGCCGGAAUACAUUAGCAUGGAAUAAUAGAAUAGGACGAUGUUGUUUUAUUUUGUUGGUUUCUAGGACAACCGUAAUGAUUAAUAGGGAUAGUUGGGGGCAUUAGUAUUCAAUUGUCAGAGGUGAAAUUCUUGGAUUUAUUGAAGACUAACUACUGCGAAAGCAUUUGCCAAGGAUGUUUUCAUUAAUCAAGAACGAAAGUUAGGGGAUCGAAGACGAUCAGAUACCGUCGUAGUCUUAACCAUAAACUAUGCCGACUAGGGAUCGGGCGAUGUUGUUUCCAUGACUCGCUCGGCACCUUAUG